RNAcentral lists this transfer RNA (67 nucleotides) under Calamus penna (sheepshead porgy). RNAcentral's name for it is "tRNA-Cys". It matches the Rfam family "tRNA". From Rfam's summary of the family: Transfer RNA (tRNA) molecules are approximately 80 nucleotides in length. The record is from RNAcentral. Lineage: Eukaryota; Metazoa; Chordata; Actinopteri; Spariformes; Sparidae.
AGCUUUGAGGUGUUUUACAUGUUGGAUUGCAAAUCCAAAGUUGUAGAUUAAUAAUCUACCGGAGCUU